GACCUGAUGCGGUUGAAUAAAUGAUUACGCUUAUCCGACAAAAUCGACAACUGCUCAAGGAACCUCAAGAGCAACAUAAACUUUUUGUAGAGGAUGAAGUUUUUCUCAAUGUUCCGCAUUCCAAGAGUGCACAAGAUCGAUGUGAAAAACAAGUAUCUAGAAUUAUUUUCUAACGUAGUCAAAUUUCGAGGACGAAAUUUCUUUAAGGGGGAGAGGAUGUAACACCCGGCAUUUUCACUACAGUUUAUAUUAUUAUUAUUAUUAUUUUCUAUUUUCUAUUAUCUAAAAGAAGAAAGAGAAGUAGAAUCACUGAGAUGAGAUGAGAUGAGAUAUUAUUAUAAUGUCCUGAGCUUUUAAUUCAGUGAUUGCAUAAUUUGAAUAAUUAAGUAUUCUUGCAUUCUUUAUUAUUUUCAUUCUUGGAAGCAAGUUUAUAAUUCCUAGUUAAAGGGAUUAUUUUAUUAUUUUCAGAGAUGAGAUUGGUGAUAAAUACGAA
RNAcentral lists this long non-coding RNA (493 nucleotides) under Salvia miltiorrhiza (redroot sage). RNAcentral's name for it is "long non-coding RNA (SMIL_LNC013478)". The record is from RNAcentral. Lineage: Eukaryota; Viridiplantae; Streptophyta; Magnoliopsida; Lamiales; Lamiaceae.